UACAGAGGCCCCAAGCGUUACUGAGAAUCACUGGGUUUAAAGGGUGCGUAGGUGGCGCGUUAAGUCCGUUGUGAAAUCCCUGGGCUCAACCCAGGAAAUGCUUCGGAUACUGGCGUGCUUGAGGCUAGUAGGGGUCACUGGAACUGACGGUGGAGCGGUGAAAUGCGUAGAUAUCGUCAGGAACGCCAAUGGUGAAGACAGGUGACUGGGCUAGAUUUGACACUGAGGCACGAAAGCGUGGGGAGCGAACGGG
Molecule: ribosomal RNA, 253 nt
Filed under: uncultured bacterium
Lineage: Bacteria
Description: partial 16S ribosomal RNA
Rfam family: Bacterial small subunit ribosomal RNA
Source: RNAcentral